AGCCUGGCCGGCGGCCCGAUCUCGGCUGGCCUCGGCGUCCGGAGGGGCCCGGCGGCGGGGGCGCCUUAGCCCCCAAGUGGGCGCCGGAGGCCCGUGGGGAAGCGGCGGAGCAGGUCCCGGGCUCUCGGACUCGGUUCGAAUCCCAGCCCUGCCUCUUACUCUUGACUCUUGAUCUGUGACUUCAAGGCUCCUUGCCUCAGUUUACCCGUCAGUAAAAGAAGCGACACUGGAGGGUGCAGUAACCCACCACUGGCAUUUAAAGCAGCUGAGAUGAUCACGCAGUGACACUGCGGGGCAGCAAGUUUGGGACACCCAGAUUCUGCACGUGAAUCUCCUGUGUUAAACUCUGCAACCUCACGGAGAAUCAAUUUCCGCAUCUGUUACAGGGCAGUAGCAAGAACAAACACCCUGCCUCUCGGGUGGUUUGAGAAUCCCGUGAAUUCAUAGUGAGACAAUGCGUGGCACAUUUCAGUACCAUGUCUGCUGCCCCACGGAGGGACGGGAUGUAGGAGGUUUUCUCUGUGGUCCGAGCUCAGGAGGGCAAGGAGGUGAGGGCAAGACUGGAACCCCUAGAAGUGGGUGGCAAGUCACAGGUCCAGGGCAGGGUGGCAUGACCAUGGCUGCAGAGGCCCCUAUCCCGAAGCUGGCUCACAGCACCUGCUGCGGGCAGGCAGAAGGGGGGCCUGGGGGUGAGUCACCGCCCAGCAAUGAGGCUUGAGUCACACAGGGCGGGGUCCCCCGUUAGCCCCCCCAGCUGCUCCCACAAAGGCCCUUUGAGAAGAGUUCCCCACCCCCUACUCCCACCC
This 806-nucleotide long non-coding RNA is filed under the name Homo sapiens (human). RNAcentral's name for it is "non-protein coding lnc-NANOS3-3:1". Lineage: Eukaryota; Metazoa; Chordata; Mammalia; Primates; Hominidae. The record is from RNAcentral.